Molecule: ribosomal RNA, 997 nt
Filed under: uncultured Arcobacter sp.
Lineage: Bacteria; Pseudomonadati; Campylobacterota; Epsilonproteobacteria; Campylobacterales; Arcobacteraceae
Description: bacterial SSU rRNA
Rfam family: Bacterial small subunit ribosomal RNA
Source: RNAcentral
GAGAACGGACUUAAGCUUGCUUAAGUUGUCAGCUAAGUGGCGCACGGGUGAGUAAUGUAUAGUUAACCUGCCCUCGAGAAAGGAAUAACAGAUGGAAGCGUCUGCUAAUGCCCUAUAUGCCCAUAAUACAUAAGUAUGCUGGGGAAAUGCUUUAGUGCUCGAGGAUGGGACUGUAUGGUAUCAGAUAGUUGGUGAGGUAAUGGCUCACCAAGUCAAUGACGCCUAACUGGUUUGAGAGGAUGAUCAGUCACACUGGAACUGAGACACGGUCCAGACUCCUACGGGAGGCAGCAGUGGGGAAUAUUGCACAAUGGAGGAAACUCUGAUGCAGCAACGCCGCGUGGAGGAUGACACUUUUCGGAGCGUAAACUCCUUUUAUAUAGGAAGAUAAUGACGGUACUAUAUGAAUAAGCACCGGCUAACUCCGUGCCAGCAGCCGCGGUAAUACGGAGGGUGCAAGCGUUACUCGGAAUCACUGGGCGUAAAGAGCGUGUAGGCGGGUUAUUAAGUCAGAAGUGAAAUCCUAUGGCUCAACCAUAGAACUGCUUUUGAAACUGGUAACCUAGAGUAUGGGAGAGGUAGAUGGAAUUUCUGGUGUAGGGGUAAAAUCCGUAGAGAUCAGAAGGAAUACCGAUUGCGAAGGCGAUCUACUGGAACAUUACUGACGCUGAGACGCGAAAGCGUGGGGAGCAAACAGGAUUAGAUACCCUGGUAGUCCACGCCCUAAACGAUGUACACUAGUUGUUGCCAUGCUAGACAUGGCAGUAAUGCAGUUAACACAUUAAGUGUACCGCCUGGGGAGUACGGUCGCAAGAUUAAAACUCAAAGGAAUAGACGGGGACCCGCACAAGCGGUGGAGCAUGUGGUUUAAUUCGACGAUACGCGAAGAACCUUACCUGGACUUGACAUUUACAGAACUUUCAAGAGAUUGAUUGGUGUCUGCUUGCAAAACUGUAGGACAGGUGCUGCACGGCUGUCGUCAGCUCGUGUCGUGAGA